This 495-nucleotide ribosomal RNA is filed under the name uncultured bacterium. Its description in RNAcentral is "partial 16S ribosomal RNA". It matches the Rfam family "Bacterial small subunit ribosomal RNA", at positions 28 to 507 of the family's 1533-position model. The record is from RNAcentral.
GAUGAACGCUGGCGGCGUGCCUAAUACAUGCAAGUAGAACGCUGAAGGAGGAGCUUGCUCUUCUGGAUGAGUUGCGAACGGGUGAGUAACGCGUAGGUAACCUGCCUGGUAGCGGGGGAUAACUAUUGGAAACGAUAGCUAAUACCGCAUGACAACAGUUAUUGCAUGAUAACUGUUUAAAAGGGGCAACUGCUCCACUACCAGAUGGACCUGCGUUGUAUUAGCUAGUUGGUGAGGUAACGGCUCACCAAGGCGACGAUACAUAGCCGACCUGAGAGGGUGAUCGGCCACACUGGGACUGAGACACGGCCCAGACGCCUACGGGAGGCAGCAGUAGGGAAUCUUCGGCAAUGGACGGAAGUCUGACCGAGCAACGCCGCGUGAGUGAAGAAGGUUUUCGGAUCGUAAAGCUCGGUUGUAAGAGAAGAACGAGUGUGAGAGUGGAAAGUUCACACUGUGACGGUAUCUUACCAGAAAGGGACGGCUAACUACGUG